CCACAUAACAUGUCGACAUGUAACAUAUAAAUGCACAUACAGGUAAUCAAUUAGUAUCACAUGUAGUCCUACCGACCUACCAAACUAGCAUAACAAUUGGCAUACAUUACUAACUCAAAGUCAACCUAUCAGUAACUACUAAUAUAUCAAAUCCAAUGGGCCGACCUUGGUGCAUUAGACCCCUUAGUAUAGUGAGGAUAACUCACCUGGCACUACUGAAGUCCCGUUGAUACAACUCCAGCUGCUGAUUGACAGAUUCCCAAACUGUCAACAUCAAACAACACCCAAUUAAUAAUUGGGUUCCAAGCCCAAGGUCCAACUCACACUAUAAAAGCCCAAAAGUCAAUAAUGGGCCAAAGCCCAACAUAGGCCCAACUUUCCAAAUUGGGCCCAGACCUCUACACGGUCUUUCCUUAAGGCCCAUCCAAUUAUUCCAAUCCAAUUUCCAUGGCCCAAUAUCACAUAAUCAUAAAGGCCCAAUUCAAGGCCCAUGUGAAAUUAGGGUUUCACAUAAAAUGAUAAUUAGGGUUAAGUGUUUCUCACUUAACCCAUUAAGGACUUAAUUUGCUAAGGACUUAAUCCAUUAAGUCCAAUAUUGCUUUUAGGUUAAUUUUGUCAAUGAUUAUUAUUUAAUAUUCCAAGUUAUUAAAUAAUCUCGUGUGUGUCCCAAUUAAUUCUCAAAAUUAGGGUUUUAUGCCAUUAGGGUUUUCCAAACCUUACUUAAGGUUUCCUACCCAACCUUGGCCCAUUAAUCAAUUGGUUGGGCUUUUAGGUAACUUUGGGCCUCAUUGGGCCCACUAGGGUUUCAUUGAUCCCACAUUGUCUAAACAUCCCCCAAAUGGCGGCAGGAGGCGGCAACCACCACCCUACGGUGGUGGUUUGAGCUAUUCUUUUCAUUAUUCCUCUUUCUAGAUACAUUUUACAAUGCUAACUCCAAAUAAUCACACACACACACACUAAUACAAACACAUAUAGACAACAACCUAGUGGCGGAUGGUGGUGGCUCAUGGUGGCAGCCACUACCUCACAAUACGUAGAUAGCAGAAGUCGCUCCAGCAGCUCUAUUCCAUCGCAACACAUGAGCACAUACAUCAAAAUACGCACACAACAGAAGAGGCUUGCUCACGGACCCACCUUGCUCGCAAACUAAUUAAUUCACCUCUGAGGCAUACGACUCAGUAGCAACAAUGGCGCUAUGAUUGGCGGUAGGAGCAUGACGACAUCAACCAUGUGCCGGGAAGCAGCGUCAGCCGUACCGCCGCCUAGAAUGGCUGACGGCGACCGUGAAGCAGCAGAAGAAGGUGAAGGGGAGUGUUGUUGUUACGCCGAAUAAUGGGGUAACGGAGUUCGUUGGUCCCUGAGGUUCACCGCUUCGAUGACAGAGGAUAGCGACGGUAAAGCUUUGCUCGGCUGGAGGCUCACGACGUCGGUUAUGAUGAGACGAUGAAGCGGCGGCUGGGAUGCAUCGAUUCACAGCAGCUAUAUACAUGGAGGUUACGGGGUGGCGGCGCCGGAUAAUGGAGAAGAAGGGUGAUGGCGGCUGCCAUCUCUAUUAUGGUUAGGGUUUACUGCAUGAGAGUUAUAAAGAGUAUAUAUGUGGGUCUUAACAGGCGACGGGAAAGGGAGCCG
Molecule: long non-coding RNA, 1629 nt
Filed under: Lactuca sativa (garden lettuce)
Lineage: Eukaryota; Viridiplantae; Streptophyta; Magnoliopsida; Asterales; Asteraceae
Description: long non-coding RNA (LSAT_LNC002191)
Source: RNAcentral